GGUGAAUUCUCAAGACUGAAUGUGGGAGCUGUGUCAUUCUAUACAAACUGCUCUUAUUUAAGUGUUAAGUUUUAUUUUUAAAAGCUCUGCUGUCCCUUGAUAGAAGGAGGGAGUGGAAGUGGGAAGAGGCAAUGUGUGAACAAGGUUAGAAGCAGAAAGAAAAAGGAAAGAGAGAAAAAAAGGGUGUCUUCUGAGCUCAGGGUCCAGCACAGCAUAGCUGGGAACACCGUCCACCACGGGAUGAAGCUGAGGAGGAAGGUUGAAGAUUUUUCCUGGUUAUCUGUGAGUGGAAAUUAUGAUUGUUGUAAAGAAGUAACAACUUUGGAAACAUGGAGGGUGUCCCUUGUAUAUCCUCCAUGUGCUUUUGAAUCCAAUUGCUGGCACCUGUGACUUCCUGUGAACACUGCUUUCAGGCUACUGGAGCAACUUUUCUGGGAAGUUCAGAGAGAAGGAAGUGCCUGGAAUUUACCUUCCCUAUGUCCCAUCUGAGCUCUUAGUCUGUGACUGGCAGUUAAGGAAUAUGAAAGCUCAGCUCUCAUGCCUCAGAUAGACAGCACUGAGAUCACAAAAAGGUCCAGAGCUGAAGUCACCUACCUAGCAAGAUGCCGGGCAGAGACCAUCAGCUCUUCUCAUGAUUGCUGUUGCAGUACUUCCUCCCUGCUCCAAGGAGCCACAUCACUUGUAGAGUGAAAACCCCUCAAGAAUGAAGACUGGGAGAGGUGGAGAUGCUGAUGAAUAUCCUGUGCCUGUGACAGAAGAAAGUAGUCUUAGUCUCUCCUAGAACAGGACUUUCUUAGUGCCACAAAACACAGGAAGGUGACAGCUUCCACCGAGGGUGUCACUGCAUGGAAAAUACCUUUCUGUACAGAUAACUGUGGAUUUGGGAGAAAACAAUCUGGGGAGGAAGAACUGGGUCCUGAGUCCCAGGGCAGUUUUCAAAAUGAUUUUGAACUGUGGGUUUAUUCUCAUGCCAUGAAUGCAAGCAUAAAGACCCCCUAUAUAAGUUCAUCAACAAAGAAAAAAACCCAGCAACUCUCCUGACUCUGGAAGGGAGGGGUCAAGACAGCAAAGAAAUGGAGUCUUACAAUUUUUUUUAUAAGGAUCUGGAAUUCAACUUAAGCCAUUAGUAUUGGACAUUAAAAAGCCACCUUUAUUUUUGAAAGAGGAUUUAUGGCCUUUUACAUGUUUAUUUUUCCUUCACUACUGGACAUCCAAGGAAGAAAGAACAUAAGGGUCAGAGACUCUCUCUGUCCAGCCAUAGGCCACAUCACCCCAGGUUCCCAACCUGAAAGUGUUCCCUGAGAUGGAGUGAUGGGGAAGGACAUUUUUCCAUUAACUCGGGUUGAGAGUUUGCCUCAGUCCUCAUCCAGGAGUCAACAUUACUUGGCUCAUUUUCACCUCACUCAACUUGGCCCCACCCUGUGCACCCAUCUGUCCAGUGACUCUCACUCACAUUUUCAUGUCAUUCAUGUGUUCCUGUUUUAUGAAACCUGAGAUAUGCUACAAUAGCACCAUCACAGUGUUUACCUGGUGCAGCAGAAGAGGAUUAAGGAAGAAAAGAACAAGUCAAAGUCAGAGAGGAAGUAAAGGACAGAAUACAGGUCCACAGUGACUACUGGUUUACUAACCUUGUUUCCCAUGCUAUUGGAGUAGCCAAAAAACUAGGAACUGAGCAACAUGGACUGUACUUAUACUCACUCUGAUGGUCUGGGGUUUCCCCUAUAGGUUAUAUAUGAUUGAUGCAUACAUUUAGUUUUUUGAGACAGGGUCUCACUAUGUAGUCCAGGCUGGCCUUAAACUCACAACCAUCUUCCUCUUGCCUCAGCCUCCCCAGUUCUGGGAUUACAGGAGUGUGCCACGAUGCCUGGCUUAUUAUGUAUAUUUAUAGAGAAGCAAAAGUUCAUUGGAGGUGAUCUGGUUCCUGAGCCAUCUCCUUCUUGUUCAACUGCAACCAUUACACUCAUUCUGUGGAAGUUUUACUUUUUCAUUUGUGCUGAUACUCUGGGCUCUAUUCCUGUUGUGAGGCAUUUAUUGCAGUGCCACUUCUUCAAUGUAUAGGCAAACAAACUGGGAGCUAGAGAUAUUAAACAAUUUACCCAAAUCUACACCUAGUUGUCAGGGACAGAACUGCAAAUAAAAUGAAGAUUCUGUUUCUAAGGCUCUUCUCUGUAAACUACAGUGUUUUCUACCUCUAAAGAAUAACAAACAGGUCUUGGCGUUUUAAAAAAAUAAAUGGAGGUGGAUUUUCUUGUCCUGGUCCAGAUACUCUUACUCACUGUCUGCUCCUAUUUUGAAAGAUUCAACUUGACUUCCCUUGAUUGAGGGUCAAUGAGCCGAGAAUUCAAGGACAGGCACCAGGAGUGCGUUAUGUAGCAAAUGAUGAAAACAUGAAAGACAUUCUUUGCAGGCUUUAGAAGACAGGGAGGAGGGAGUAGCAAAGGUGGGGGUUCUUUGCUGAAAUACCCUCAUGUUUCUGAGUCCCAAGAUACUACUAAAUCAGACCCAGGUCAUAUGGUGCCUAUGCUUGUCUCUUGGCCCAGGGUGAAAACAGU
RNAcentral lists this long non-coding RNA (2552 nucleotides) under Heterocephalus glaber (naked mole-rat). Its description in RNAcentral is "lncRNA (ENSHGLG00000040180.1)". Lineage: Eukaryota; Metazoa; Chordata; Mammalia; Rodentia; Bathyergidae. The record is from RNAcentral.